Molecule: ribosomal RNA, 373 nt
Filed under: Proctoporus cf. bolivianus Ca1
Lineage: Eukaryota; Metazoa; Chordata; Lepidosauria; Squamata; Gymnophthalmidae
Description: partial 12S ribosomal RNA
Rfam family: Bacterial small subunit ribosomal RNA
Source: RNAcentral
CUAAGCACCACUAAGACCACUCCUCCGCCAGAACAUUACGAGCGAAAGCCUAAAACUCAAAAGACUUGACGGUGUCCCAACCUUCCUAGAGGAGCCUGUUCCAUAAUCGACGACCCACGUUUUACCUAACCACUUUUAGAAUCAUCAGCCUAUAUACCGCCGUCACUCAGCCUACCUUUUAAAAGAAUAUAAAUGGGCUAAAUAGUAGUAUACUAACAAGUCAGGUCAAGGUGUAGCUUAUAAAGUGGUGGCAAUGGGCUACAUUGUUUAUACUAAACAACACGAACUUAUACCCCCUGAAAAAGAAAAUGAAGGUGGAUUUAGCAGUAAUUUAAACAAGAAUACUUAAAUUAACACCAGCUCUGGGACAUGU